Triticum aestivum (bread wheat) is the source of this 1617-nucleotide long non-coding RNA. RefSeq lists it as uncharacterized. The record is from RefSeq and is a predicted model, not a curated record. NCBI's taxonomy places the organism in Eukaryota, Viridiplantae, Streptophyta, Magnoliopsida, Poales, Poaceae. The transcript is spliced from 5 exons.
CCGCUCCACGCACUUGCGCCCAAUCCCAUCUUCUCCCGUCCUGCUCCACACCAGCCGCCACACAACCCUAGCCCCUUUCCCAUCGAUCCCCACAGCCCCUCCCUCCUUCUCGCUCCUCGCCAUGGCCCAUUCCCACGGCCCCUCCCUCCUCCUCGCUCCUCGCCAUGGCCUCCUACUCCCCUCCACCACCAUACGUGCACACAGACGGCGGUGCCGGAGAAGAGCAGCUCCAGUCAUGGUGGGGUGCGGCUGCGACGGAGAUGAAGGAGGUCCGCCGCCCAUGUUUGUCUCCUUGCUGUAUCCUUUGUUACCGAUCCUCCCUUCUCCCUUCGCCCCUAGCAGCACAGCAGUCGGGGACAAGGGGAAGGAGCAGGUCGACCCGAAUCCAUCUCUCUGCAAGAGGACUAGAGGAGCAGGUGGCGAGGGAAACCGGCACGGUCAGCGGCGGCGCUGCACAGGGACGUCCACCUCCGGUUUUCUGUCCUAUCUCCGAUUCCCUUCCGUUUAAGUGUGUUAUUUUUCCUCUUGGCCCGAUCUUCUCACAUGUUUGGGGUCUCGUGCUGUAGGGAUAAGAUCUGAAACGGGAGGUGUGGUAUAAUGCAUAGGUGUAUAAUCUUGGCUAUAUCUAUGCUGGUGAUUUGGCUACCAACUACUAAAUCUACGAAUCAUUUGAAAAUGUUGAACUUGUUGUCAGACAUGUUUUGAUUAUGCUUUUAAGCACUAUGCUUUCCUGAUUCAGUGCCAUUUAUGUGGUGCAGGAGAAUGUCGAUUUAAAGCAUUUGGUUCUGAUGGAUCAUAUUAUUGGUUCUCUGUUCAACUGAAGAUGUCUUUAGAUAGGACUAAGGUGAGUUGAGUUGUGGCUUGGUUGGAGAUGUUGAUGUUGUUUGAGACGCCCGCUGGAUUCACCCUUUUCAAGGUUCUGAACAAGGGCAAGCUCGAGGUCGAGGGGUAUAUGGACCACAAAUGAUGUGAUAUACUUGGUUAUUUCAAGAUGAGUACGGCUCAGCAGGAAGGUCAACCGUGGGGAAGCGCAACAUAGCGCGGCCUCAGCCAGUUAGGCUUGUUACAAGCUUCAGCUGGAUCAAAUAGUGGGCCUUCUAUAUAUAUCUUCAGCUGUAUCAUUGCUUACUAUAUGUAUCUUCCUGUCGACCAGAAAAAACAAUACAUCGAUUCUUUGCCUCCUUAUUUCUUGCUCAGAUCCCAUGAUACAACCUCGGUGGCUGGCCAGCGACUAACAGGGUGCACCACCGAUGGUGAAAAUACCUCACAGGAUGAUGUUGGACAUUCUUCUACAAACUUCAGGCCUACCGGUGGCUGAGUCGAAGCAAAAUGUGAUCAUGGCAUGAUGAUACAAAAUCAUAAUCCUUGUUCCUAUGGAAGCAAAAGGAUUCAUGAAACCCAUGGUGAAAAAAGAGAUAAGAUACUACAAUUACAGUAGCAUGGAGAAACCGAGGACACAAAAUGAGUCUGAAGAAUGUUAUGGCAGAUUCGUUCUAGCUAGGUACAUGCGGGCUUCUCUUACAUAUAUGCAACGUAAGAAUGUGAAUGACCAGAACUAUUGUGAUGUUGCUCUAUUGUAAGAGUACAAAUAACUCAUGGCUAUCUUUCUUUUGUUUA